This 468-nucleotide ribosomal RNA is filed under the name uncultured bacterium. RNAcentral's name for it is "partial 16S ribosomal RNA". It matches the Rfam family "Bacterial small subunit ribosomal RNA", at positions 28 to 507 of the family's 1533-position model. The record is from RNAcentral.
GACGAACGCUGGCGGCGUGCUUAACACAUGCAAGUCGAACGGAAAGGCCCUGCUUUUGUGGGGUGCUCGAGUGGCGAACGGGUGAGUAACACGUGAGUAACCUGCCCUUGACUUUGGGAUAACUUCAGGAAACUGGGGCUACUACCGGAUAGGAGCUCCUGCUGCAUGGUGGGGGUUGGAAAGUUUCGGCGGUUGGGGAUGGACUCGCGGCUUAUCAGCUUGUUGGUGGGGUAGUGGCUUACCAAGGCUUUGACGGGUAGCCGGCCUGAGAGGGUGACCGGCCACAUUGGGACUGAGAUACGGCCCAGAGUCCUACGGGAGGCAGCAGUGGGGAAUAUUGCACAAUGGGCGGAAGCCUGAUGCAGCAACGCCGCGUGCGGGAUGACGGCUUUCGGGUUGUAAACCGCUUUCGCCUGUGACGAAGCGUGAGUGACGGUAAUGGGUAAAGAAGCACCGGCUAACUACGUG